AAUAGAGUGCCUGAAUUAAAGGAGUACUCUGAUGGAGUAAAAUAUACAGCUUAAAUUGUCUCUAUUA
RNAcentral lists this transfer RNA (67 nucleotides) under Friesea propria. RNAcentral describes it as "tRNA-Ile". Lineage: Eukaryota; Metazoa; Arthropoda; Collembola; Poduromorpha; Neanuridae. The record is from RNAcentral.